RNAcentral lists this ribosomal RNA (463 nucleotides) under uncultured bacterium. Its description in RNAcentral is "bacterial SSU rRNA". It matches the Rfam family "Bacterial small subunit ribosomal RNA", at positions 339 to 795 of the family's 1533-position model. The record is from RNAcentral.
AUACGGGAGGCAGCAGUAGGGAAUUUUCGGCAAUGGGCGCAAGCCUGACCGAGCAACGCCGCGUGAGUGAUUAAGGCCUUCGGGUUGUAAAGCUCUGUUGUAAGGGAAGAAAAAUCAGUAGAGGAAAUGAUACUGAUCUGACGGUACCUUACCAGAAAGCCACGGCUAACUACGUGCCAGCAGCCGCGGUAAUACGUAGGUGGCAAGCGUUAUCCGGAAUUAUUGGGCGUAAAGGGUGCGUAGGCGGUUUAUUAAGUCUAUGGUGAAAGUGCGGGGCUCAACCCCGUAUGGCCAUAGAAACUGAUAGACUAGAGUGCAGGAGAGGGCAAUGGAAUUCCAUGUGUAGCGGUAAAAUGCGUAGAUAUAUGGAGGAACACCAGUGGCGAAGGCGGUUGCCUGGCCUGUAACUGACGCUGAAGCACGAAAGCGUGGGGAGCAAAUAGGAUUAGAUACCCGGGUAGUC